AUAACCUGUUAAUUAAUAACAUUAUUAAACUCUGUUUGUUUUGGUUUCAUAAUCUCACUGGAGACAAUAGAGUUGAAAUGAAGGUACAUUAACUCGACUAUUAUACACAAGGAAGUGCACGACUCAAUUGUCGUUUGGAAUGUGACCUGCCAGUAUAAAAGCUCUGGUGCAAGAGGUUUGUCUACAUACCAUCCGACAACAUGAAGGUUCAACUUCUCACGCUGCUGCUCCUGCUGUGCUGCACUCAGGUGCUCACACUCAGAUGCUACACCUGUGUAGGUGAAGAUGACGAGGACUGUAAGGUGGAGACAGAGUGCCCGGCAACAGCUCAGUACUGCAUGACCAUGCAAUACGGUGGAGAACUUUCUCGAACUUGUCAGGAUUAUUGUGCCGAAGAUGAUAACACAUAUUGCUGCCAAGAAGACCUCUGCGACCCAUGAGUCAUCCCUCAGCGCUGACUUUCGCUUUCUGAAAAAUGAAAUGAAUAUAUAAGACAAAUGUAUUACUUAAAUCUAAAUCAGAUCGAAGAUGAUUUUUAACUUUAUAGGAUUGUAAUGUGACUAUCCUGUCUUGCUUUUACUUUCAUUAAACUCUACAAAUAUUGAAUCA
This 609-nucleotide long non-coding RNA is filed under the name Cottoperca gobio. RNAcentral's name for it is "lncRNA (ENSCGOG00000017537.1)". The record is from RNAcentral. Lineage: Eukaryota; Metazoa; Chordata; Actinopteri; Perciformes; Bovichtidae.